UUGAUUAAGGAAAAUGGAAAAAAAUCUUACAUCAGAUGAUUCCAUAAGUGAAUGGUACACGUGCAAUAAUAAGUAAUAGGCACAAUGUGAAUGAAAUAGGAAAUGGACAGAUGAAGCAAAGGAAACAACAUUCCUUUGAAGAUGGAACACAUAAAUCAGGAUAAAUUUUAAAUUGAUGAGACUUCUAACACUGGAGAAGCAAUCCACUUCCUGUGGUAAAGGUGUUUGGAGAGGAGGGGGGUGACCCUAAAUCUUGAAAAUGCUCAGCCAUAGAAAAGCAGAAGUCACUGACAGAAACAGAGGUAACUGCAAGCUCUUGAACAGGGAAGGUGAUGAGUCACAAACGGAAAUAUGUAAUUAAGAAAGGUUGUUGCC
Molecule: long non-coding RNA, 375 nt
Organism: Sorex fumeus (smoky shrew)
Lineage: Eukaryota; Metazoa; Chordata; Mammalia; Eulipotyphla; Soricidae
Exons: 3
Source: RefSeq, a predicted model, not a curated record